RNAcentral lists this ribosomal RNA (404 nucleotides) under Actinomycetes bacterium. RNAcentral describes it as "Actinobacteria bacterium partial 16S ribosomal RNA". It matches the Rfam family "Bacterial small subunit ribosomal RNA", at positions 355 to 776 of the family's 1533-position model. Lineage: Bacteria; Bacillati; Actinomycetota; Actinomycetes. The record is from RNAcentral.
UGGGGAAUAUUGGACAAUGGGCGCAAGCCUGAUCCAGCCAUGCCGCGUGAGUGAUGAAGGCCCUAGGGUUGUAAAGCUCUUUCACCGGUGAAGAUAAUGACGGUAACCGGAGAAGAAGCCCCGGCUAACUUCGUGCCAGCAGCCGCGGUAAUACGAAGGGGGCUAGCGUUGUUCGGAUUUACUGGGCGUAAAGCGCACGUAGGCGGACUUUUAAGUCAGGGGUGAAAUCCCGGGGCUCAACCCCGGAACUGCCUUUGAUACUGGAAGUCUUGAGUAGGGUAGAGGUGGGUGGAAUUCCGAGUGUAGAGGUGAAAUUCGUAGAUAUUCGGAGGAACACCAGUGGCGAAGGCGGCUCACUGGACCAUUACUGACGCUGAGGUGCGAAAGCGUGGGGAGCAAACAGG